Molecule: ribosomal RNA, 255 nt
Filed under: uncultured bacterium
Lineage: Bacteria
Description: partial 16S ribosomal RNA
Rfam family: Bacterial small subunit ribosomal RNA
Source: RNAcentral
UACGUAGGGUGCAAGCGUUUGUCCGGAAUUAUUGGGCGUAAAGAGCUCGUAGGCGGUUUGUCGCGUCUGCUGUGAAAUCCCGAGGCUCAACCUCGGGCCUGCAGUGGGUACGGGCAGACUAGAGUGCGGUAGGGGAGAUUGGAAUUCCUGGUGUAGCGGUGGAAUGCGCAGAUAUCAGGAGGAACACCGAUGGCGAAGGCAGAUCUCUGGGCCGUAACUGACGCUGAGGAGCGAAAGCGUGGGGGAGCGAACAGG